AUCGUUAAACACUGUACACCCCGAGUUAAUCUAAACGUCAAUUAAAAACGGAAUAUUUUAUCAUAAAACCCAUCAGAACAGCACACGCACGUAUACAAACGCACCCUAGGUGUAUAAUGUUUGUUUUAACACUUUCUUCCGCUGACUACGGACGCCGUAUACAUUGUGUGAAUGGCAACGCAAACGCUCUCGUACACUGAACCGGAUU
This is a non-coding RNA of Cinara cedri, 208 nucleotides long. The record is from the annotation of a GenBank genome assembly. Lineage: Eukaryota; Metazoa; Arthropoda; Insecta; Hemiptera; Aphididae.